AAAGUCGUAACAAGGUUUCCGUAGGUGAACCUGCGGAAGGAUCAUUACCUAGAGUUUGUGGGCUUUGCCUGCUAUCUCUUACCCAUGUCUUUUGAGUACUUACGUUUCCUCGGUGGGCUCGCCCGCCGAUUGGACAAAAUUAAACCCUUGCAGUUGCCAUCAGCGUCUGAAAAACAUAAUAGUUACAACUUUCAACAACGGAUCUCUUGGUUCUG
Molecule: unclassified non-coding RNA, 215 nt
Filed under: Ascomycota sp.
Lineage: Eukaryota; Fungi; Ascomycota
Description: partial contains small subunit ribosomal RNA, internal transcribed spacer 1, and 5.8S ribosomal RNA
Rfam family: Eukaryotic small subunit ribosomal RNA (bases 1-47)
Source: RNAcentral